This 441-nucleotide ribosomal RNA is filed under the name uncultured bacterium. RNAcentral describes it as "partial 16S ribosomal RNA". It matches the Rfam family "Bacterial small subunit ribosomal RNA", at positions 338 to 795 of the family's 1533-position model. The record is from RNAcentral.
CCUACGAGAGGCUGCAGUGGGGAAUAUUGCGCAAUGGGGGCAACCCUGACGCAGCAACGCCGCGUGAUUGAAGAAGGCCUUCGGGUUGUAAAGAUCUUUAAUCGGGGACGAAUUUUGACGGUACCGGAAGAAUACGCUCCGGCUAACUACGUGCCAGCAGCCGCGGUAAUACGUAGGGAGCAAGCGUUAUCCGUAUUUACUGGGUGGAAAGGGCGUGUAGGCGGGCAUGCAAGCCAGAAGUGAAAUCUGGGGGCUUAACCCCCAAACUGCUUUUGGAACUGCGUGGCUGGAGUGAUGGAGAGGCAGGCGGAAUUCCCAGUGUAGCGGUGAAAUGCGUAGAUAUUGGGAGGAACACCAGUGGCGAAGGCGGCCUGCUGGACAUUAACUGACGCUGAGGCGCGAAAGCGUGGGGAGCAAACAGGAUUAGAUACCCGGGUAGUC